UUCCAUGUGUAGCGGUGAAAUGCGUAGAUAUAUGGAGGAACACCAGUGGCGAAAGCGGCUNUCUGGUCUGUCACUGACGCUGAGGCUCGAAAGCGUGGGUAGCGAACAGGAUUAGAUACCCUGGUAGUCCACGCCGUAAACGAUGAGUGCUAGGUGUUAGGCCCUUUCCGGGGCUUAGUGCCGGAGCUAACGCAAUAAGCACUCCGCCUGGGGAGUACGACCGCAAGGUUGAAACUCAAAGGAAUUGACGGGGGCCCGCACAAGCGGUGGAGCAUGUGGUUUAAUUCGAAGCAACGCGAAGAACCUUACCAGGUCUUGACAUCCUGAUGCUAUUCUUAGAGAUAGGAAGUUACUUCGGUACAUCGGAGACAGGUGGUGCAUGGUUGUCGUCAGCUCGUGUCGUGAGAUGUUGGGUUAAGUCCCGCAACGAGCGCAACCCUUAUUGUUAGUUGCCAUCAUUAAGUUGGGCACUCUAGCGAGACUGCCGGUAAUAAACCGGAGGAAGGUGGGGAUGACGUCAAAUCAUCAUGCCCCUUAUGACCUGGGCUACACACGUGCUACAAUGGUCGGUACAACGAGUUGCGAGCCGGUGACGGCAAGCUAAUCUCUGAAAGCCGAUCUCAGUUUGGAUUGGAGGCUGCAACUCGCCUCCAUGAAGUCGGAAUCGCUAGUAAUCGCGGAUCAGCACGCCGCGGUGAAUACGUUCCCGGGCCUUGUACACACCGCCCGUCACACCACGAGAGUUUGUAACACCCGAAGUCGGUGAGGUAACCUUUUAGGGGCCAGC
RNAcentral lists this ribosomal RNA (787 nucleotides) under uncultured bacterium. RNAcentral's name for it is "bacterial SSU rRNA". It matches the Rfam family "Bacterial small subunit ribosomal RNA", at positions 667 to 1453 of the family's 1533-position model. The record is from RNAcentral.